GAUGAACGCUGGCGGCGUGCCUAAUACAUGCAAGUCGAGCGAACAAAGGAGGCUCUUGCCUCUCUUCCGUUACGGACGGACGGGUAAUUACCAGGUGGCUAACCUACCUAUAAGACUGGGGUCACUUCGGGAAACCUAAUCUAACACCCGUUAUUAUAUUGAACCGCAUGGUUCAUUGGUGCACACCGUAUUUGCUGUCCCUAAUUCAUGGAUCCGCGCCGCAGUAGCUAGUUGGUACGGGAACGACUUACCAAGGCAACUAUGCGUAGCCGACCUGUGAGAGUGAGCGGCGACACUGGAACUGAGACACGGUCCAGACUCCUACGGGAGGCAGCAGUAGGGAAUCUUCCGCAAUGGGCGAAAGCCUGACGGAGCAACGCCGCGUGAGUGAUGAAGGUCUUCGGAUCGUAAAACUCUGUUAUUAGGGAAGAACAAAUGUGUAAGUAACUAUGCACGUCUUGACGGUACCUAAACAGAAAGCCACGGCUAACUACGUG
RNAcentral lists this ribosomal RNA (497 nucleotides) under uncultured bacterium. RNAcentral's name for it is "partial 16S ribosomal RNA". It matches the Rfam family "Bacterial small subunit ribosomal RNA", at positions 28 to 507 of the family's 1533-position model. The record is from RNAcentral.